GAAGCCAACAAGAAACCAAGCCUUCCUGUGAGUUAGCACUACGUGUGGCCCACUGCAGGGGAGAGCUAGAGGCCAGAUCUUUCCUGUGAGUCAGUACCAGCUGUGGACUGUGAGGGAGGAGAAUAAGAAGCCAACAAGAAGUCAAGCCCUCCCUGUGAGUCAGCACCAUGCACAAGCUGCUGGAGAGAGACCCAGAUGCCAUCCCGGAACAGGGCACAGGCUGGCAGACAAGAAGAGCCAAGAUGUGACCCUCACUCCCUCCACCAGUCCCCCACAGUUCUAUCAUAUGGUUAUCUGACUGGGAAUGGCAGACGAACCUGGGGCUUUCCCAGUUUGAGUCCCCUGCUGUUCAGGACCAGUACUGGACUACAUCCUGCAUUAAUUCCUCACUUCUACACUCGAGAGCUGUAAACUUGUCACUGCUGGUUUGCAAACAACACCCACCCAAUUUACCACAGGUAAGGAACCCCCCAGAGAUUGCCA
RNAcentral lists this long non-coding RNA (483 nucleotides) under Cavia porcellus (domestic guinea pig). RNAcentral's name for it is "lncRNA (ENSCPOG00000037858.1)". The record is from RNAcentral. Lineage: Eukaryota; Metazoa; Chordata; Mammalia; Rodentia; Caviidae.